UACGUAGGGUGCAAGCGUUACUCGGAAUUACUGGGCGUAAAGCGUCUGUAGGUUUUUCACCACGUCUGGCAGUAAAUUGCAGGGCUCAACCCUGCAGGUCUGUUGGAAACGAGUGGAAUAGAGUCACUCAGAGGCAUCUGGAAUGUCAUGUGUAGGGGUAAAAUCCGUAGAUACAUGAUGGAACGCCAAAAGCGAAAGCAGGAUGCUAGGGGUGUACUGACACUCAGAGACGAAAGCGUGGGGAGCAAAGGGG
RNAcentral lists this ribosomal RNA (253 nucleotides) under uncultured bacterium. Its description in RNAcentral is "partial 16S ribosomal RNA". It matches the Rfam family "Bacterial small subunit ribosomal RNA", at positions 524 to 776 of the family's 1533-position model. The record is from RNAcentral.